UACGGAGGGGGCUAGCGUUGUUCGGAAUUACUGGGCGUAAAGCGCACGUAGGCGGCUUUGCAAGUCAGAGGUGAAAGCCCGGGGCUCAACCCCGGAACGGCCUUUGAAACUAGAUAGCUAGAGUCUUGGAGAGGUUAGUGGAAUUCCGAGUGUAGAGGUGAAAUUCGUAGAUAUUCGGAAGAACACCAGUGGCGAAGGCGACUAACUGGACAAGUACUGACGCUGAGGUACGAAAGCGUGGGGAGCAAACAGG
This 253-nucleotide ribosomal RNA is filed under the name uncultured bacterium. RNAcentral describes it as "partial 16S ribosomal RNA". It matches the Rfam family "Bacterial small subunit ribosomal RNA", at positions 524 to 776 of the family's 1533-position model. The record is from RNAcentral.